Molecule: ribosomal RNA, 458 nt
Filed under: uncultured organism
Description: partial 16S ribosomal RNA
Rfam family: Bacterial small subunit ribosomal RNA
Source: RNAcentral
CACUCCUGCGGGAGGCAGCAGUGGGGAAUAUUGCACAAUGGGCGCAAGCCUGAUGCAGCGACGCCGCGUGGGGGAUGAAGGCCUUCGGGUUGUAAACUCCUUUCGCUAGGGACGAAGCUUUUUUGUGACGGUACCUAGAUAAGAAGCACCGGCUAACUACGUGCCAGCAGCCGCGGUAAUACGUAGGGUGCGAGCGUUGUCCGGAAUUACUGGGCGUAAAGGGCUCGUAGGUGGUUUGUCGCGUCGUCUGUGAAAUUCUGGGGCUUAACUCCGGGCGUGCAGGCGAUACGGGCAUAACUUGAGUGCUGUAGGGGUAACUGGAAUUCCUGGUGUAGCGGUGAAAUGCGCAGAUAUCAGGAGGAACACCGAUGGCGAAGGCAGGUUACUGGGCAGUUACUGACGCUGAGGAGCGAAAGCAUGGGUAGCGAACAGGAUUAGAUACCCCAGUAGUCCCAUGA